UACGAAGGGGGCUAGCGUUGCUCGGAAUCACUGGGCGUAAAGGGUGCGUAGGCGGGCAGGUAAGUCCGUGGUGAAAUCUCCGAGCUUAACUCGGAAACUGCCGUUGAUACUAUUUGUCUUGAAUAUUGUGGAGGUAAGCGGAAUAUGUCAUGUAGCGGUGAAAUGCUUAGAUAUGACAUAGAACACCAAUUGCGAAGGCAGCUUACUACACAACGAUUGACGCUGAGGCACGAAAGCGUGGGGAUCAAACAGG
Molecule: ribosomal RNA, 253 nt
Filed under: uncultured bacterium
Lineage: Bacteria
Description: partial 16S ribosomal RNA
Rfam family: Bacterial small subunit ribosomal RNA
Source: RNAcentral